Molecule: ribosomal RNA, 497 nt
Filed under: uncultured bacterium
Lineage: Bacteria
Description: partial 16S ribosomal RNA
Rfam family: Bacterial small subunit ribosomal RNA
Source: RNAcentral
GAUGAACGCUGGCGGCGUGCCUAAUACAUGCAAGUCGAGCGAACAGACGAGGAGCUUGCUCCUCUGACGUUAGCGGCGGACGGGUGAGUAACACGUGGAUAACCUACCUAUAAGACUGGGAUAACUUCGGGAAACCGGAGCUAAUACCGGAUAAUAUAUUGAACCGCAUGGUUCAAUAGUGAAAGACGGUUUUGCUGUCACUUAUCGAUGGAUCCGCGCCGCAUUAGCUAGUUGGUAAGGUAACGGCUUACCAAGGCAACGAUGCGUAGACGACCUGAGAGGGUGAUCGGCCACACUGGAACUGAAACACGGUCAAGACUCCUACGGGAGGCAGCAGAAGGGAAUCUUCCGCAAUGGGCGGAAGCAUGACGGAGCAACGCCGAGUGAGUGAUGAAGGUCUUCGGAUCGUAAAACUCUGUUAUGAGGGAAGAACAAAUGUGUAAGUAACUAUGCACGUCUUGACGGUACCUAAUCAGAAAGCCACGGCUAACUACGUG